CCUACGGGUGGCAGCAGUGGGGAAUAUUGGACAAUGGGCGAAAGCCUGAUCCAGCCAUGCCGCGUGUGUGAAGAAGGCCUUCGGGUUGUAAAGCACUUUCAGUGGGGAAGAAAGCCUUGGGGCUAAUACCCUCGAGGAAGGACAUCACCCACAGAAGAAGCACCGGCUAACUCCGUGCCAGCAACCGCGGUAAUACGGAGGGUGCGAGCGUUAAUCGGAAUUACUGGGCGUAAAGCGCGCGUAGGCGGUCUGAUAAGCCGGUUGUGAAAGCCCCGGGCUCAACCUGGGAACGGCAUCCGGAACUGUCAGGCUAGAGUGCAGGAGAGGAAGGUAGAAUUCCCGGUGUAGCGGUGAAAUGCGUAGAGAUCGGGAGGAAUACCAGUGGCGAAGGCGGCCUUCUGGACUGACACUGACGCUGAGGUGCGAAAGCGUGGGUAGCAAACAGGAUUAGAUACCCUAGUAGUC
This 465-nucleotide ribosomal RNA is filed under the name Vreelandella stevensii. RNAcentral describes it as "partial 16S ribosomal RNA". It matches the Rfam family "Bacterial small subunit ribosomal RNA", at positions 338 to 795 of the family's 1533-position model. Lineage: Bacteria; Pseudomonadati; Pseudomonadota; Gammaproteobacteria; Oceanospirillales; Halomonadaceae. The record is from RNAcentral.